RNAcentral lists this microRNA (23 nucleotides) under Sus scrofa (pig). RNAcentral's name for it is "ssc-miR-7142-5p". The record is from miRBase by way of RNAcentral. Lineage: Eukaryota; Metazoa; Chordata; Mammalia; Artiodactyla; Suidae.
ACUCUCCGAGGGGCCUUCAAGGG